CAUGACUUACAAAAGCAUAUACUGAAAAGAGAUGAUCUCUCCCCUAAGAAACAUAUAACCACAAAACACAAGAGUCAUUUUGUUUAUGUCAGCUUCCCCCUGACUGCUCUGCAGCCUCUAACAGAGCACUGUGGUCACCCCUUCACCUUUAAAAACCUGGCACAAAUUUGAGGCUGUAUGAACAAUUUGGAGCUAUUACUGAUCAGCCACAGUGGCUGGAUCCUCUGCAGUUCUGUGUGCACUCUCCAUAUCAAAGUCAGUCUUCGCUUGAAUGACCUGAGAAUGUGUCAUUUCUGAGUGAGAAAGAGGUAAAGGAAUCUGCAUAUUUGUUUGAGAGGGGGGCUAUGCUCAGAGGGAAUAGGAGGAAUUCAGGCAAGACUUCCACCCUAGUUGGUCAAUGCCUUCUAUAGUUUUAACAAUUUAUCAACCUGUGCUUCAUAAGUGAUCUUUUCAAAGAAAACUCUGUCCCAACAACCUUGGCACUCUCAUUUGAAGGGCCAUGCUGCUUCCCUAUCUAAACACAGCAGUAACAUUGCUACGGGCCAUCUUUAAUAGAUUGACACAGGCUUAAAAACUGUCAGUGUGAAUAAAUUCCUGGCACCUUCAUAUCCUUUCAAUUUGUUCUAACAUUUUCUACCAGCUUUUCUCUCCUUUGUCCUUGCUCCAACAGCAGGUCCUCUUCACAUUUCAGCCUUCAUUCGCCUGUCAAAACAAGAUGAGAUCUGUUUGUCUUCAAUCUUCAAGCCACAAAGGAGCAAAACACAAAGCAAUCACACUUUCACGGCUACAAAAUACAUUCUUGUCCUUCAGAAAACUUUUCCUUCACAUCUAAAUUCUCACAGCCACGUGACAAAGAAUAGAGAGCACUUGCAGAUGGAAAGCUGGGUUUGAAAUAGGAAGCAAAUCUCCUCUUUAGAGCAAAGGAUGAAAUGGGACAGAAGAAUCUUCAAGUGCAGGAACUCUCCCUGGCUCCAGACUGUGAAGAACAUCACCAGUACCUCCAGAUGCAUGCAGGCAGACAUGAUCCAUCAGGCACACCUCACUCAGCAAUGCAGCUCUUUCUCAUCCCGUGCUCCAGGGACCACUGCACCAACCACCACCACCACCUCCCCCCCGCCCCAGGUGCUCUGCUGGUUUCCUGCAACAUUGCGCAAUGUCACACUUCCCCCAGAACACAGAACUGCUCAAAUUCUGGAUGUGAUUCUCUACUCCAUCGACUUUUUAUUUUACUGUAAGGGGCACUAUCUCCAUUGACUACAUCAGCUGUCAUGUCGGAUUGUGAUUAAAUCCAAUAGCUCUUUCUCAGAACUAAAACCAAGACAACUUCUUUCCAUUCUCAUUUCACAUUUCACACGUUUUCUUAAUACCCUUCAAUCUAUCUGAUGUUCAGCCCUCCAUCUCCUGCUUCAGCUAUCUAUUUUUCUCCUUCCUCUAUCAUUUCCUCCUUCUCCGUCCCUUCCUCUCCCUCAUACUCUCCAGUUCACAGGCUCUGUGUUUUCUUGAAAGGAAGCAGAAGUAGUGAAAAGAUAGUGACGGUCACAACCCAGCAUCUCUGAAAGGAAACCCAGUGAGACAAACAUGUGUGACUUGUGACUUUCUCAUGGCUUGUUUCUAAGAAAUUAUUUCCAAGUAGCUGUGCUCUUACCAGCAUAAGGACAGAGAAGCAUCCUUUUAUGCCAUACUACCUAGCUGUUAACACAGUUGUAUCUGAUGUAGCACUUUCUUCUGCACUCAAGCAAAAUAAUUAAUGUGUCCUUGAUUAUCAUGCUGUGCAUACUAUUUUUCCUUAUCCUGUAGUGAUCCAACUUUCUCCUGAGCCAGAACAUAACAUCUGUGUCUGUAUGCUGGAUACUACUCUAACUGAAGCCCAGGCCACUGUCCUAUUGCCCAUCUCCAUCUCCCAGGUUCAGCAGCCAAGCCCCUCCAGACUCUUCACAAAACACCAGCCAGGCAUUUACUUUGCGUGGCUAUAGUUAAAAUUCAGUCACAUUCAGGAAUGGAUGUGCCUCUGAGUACUCUGCAUGUUGUAGGACAGUUGUGGUCAUCAUGAUAGUAUGAAGUCUGCAUUGGGAUGCUCUCUGAAAGGAGAAAAUAAAGACAAAUUGGGCACGAAGCUAGUAGUAGGA
RNAcentral lists this long non-coding RNA (2126 nucleotides) under Coturnix japonica (Japanese quail). Its description in RNAcentral is "lncRNA (ENSCJPG00005013661.1)". The record is from RNAcentral. Lineage: Eukaryota; Metazoa; Chordata; Aves; Galliformes; Phasianidae.